AGAUCAAUUUGUCGGUCGUGCCUCGGUACGUACUGGCAUUAUUGAUUUCUCCCUUCUGAAGAACCGCGAUGUCAUUAAUUUGGUGUCGUGGGGAAUCAGGACUGUUACUUUGAAAAAAUUAGAGUGUUUAAAGCAGGCUCACGCUUGAAUACAUUAGCAUGGAAUAACGGAAUAGGACGUUUGAUUCUAUUUUGUUGGUUUCUAGGAUCGACGUAAUGAUUAAUAGGGAUAGUUG
This 235-nucleotide ribosomal RNA is filed under the name uncultured Glomus. Its description in RNAcentral is "partial 18S ribosomal RNA". The stretch from base 38 to 235 matches the Rfam family "Eukaryotic small subunit ribosomal RNA", at positions 685 to 884 of the family's 1831-position model. Lineage: Eukaryota; Fungi; Glomeromycota; Glomeromycetes; Glomerales; Glomeraceae. The record is from RNAcentral.